ACGGGAGGCAGCAGUGAGGAAUAUUGGUCAAUGGGCGAGAGCCUGAACCAGCCAAGUAGCGUGAAGGAAGACUGCCCUAUGGGUUGUAAACUUCUUUUGUGCGGGGGUAAAGUGGUCCACGCGUGGUCCAUUGCAAGUACCGUACGAAUAAGCAUCGGCUAACUCCGUGCCAGCAGCCGCGGUAAUACGGAGGAUGCGAGCGUUAUCCGGAUUUAUUGGGUUUAAAGGGUGCGCAGGCGGCACGUUAAGUCAGCGGUGAAAUGUCGGGGCUCAACCCGGGCACUGCCGUUGAAACUGGCGAGCUUGAGUACGGAUGAAGUCGGCGGAAUGUGAUGUGUAGCGGUGAAAUGCUUAGAUAUGUCACAGAACACCGAUUGCGAAGGCAGCUGACUAAUCCGCAACUGACGCUCAGGCACGAAAGCGUGGGGAUCGAACAGGAUUAGAUACCCUGGUA
Molecule: ribosomal RNA, 454 nt
Filed under: uncultured bacterium
Lineage: Bacteria
Description: partial 16S ribosomal RNA
Rfam family: Bacterial small subunit ribosomal RNA
Source: RNAcentral